RNAcentral lists this long non-coding RNA (741 nucleotides) under Junco hyemalis (dark-eyed junco). RNAcentral's name for it is "lncRNA (ENSJHYG00000005625.1)". The record is from RNAcentral. Lineage: Eukaryota; Metazoa; Chordata; Aves; Passeriformes; Passerellidae.
UCUCUGCAAUUAAUUGCUCCCGGGGUUUUGCAAUCCGGGGAUCGAGUGGUGGUGCAAAAAUCAAAGAGUGGCUUAGAAAAACCCAAACAGCAACAACAGCCAGCCCCAGCUCGGGGUGCUGUGUUCUGUUCACAGUCCACAGCUGGUGGGGGCUGUGGACAUUCCUGUUCCAUGGCUGCAAUUUGGGAAACAAAUGCUCAGCACCCGUUUCAGCUCCUGAGCUGCUACUGGAGCCUGUAGGAGAUCUGAUGGAGGAGGGAUAAGGUCAAAAGCUGGGUGAAGAAAAUGUCAGAAGAAAAUAUUUUUGAGUCGUCAGAGGUGGCUCUUCAUCUGGAAUUAAACUCCAGGAACUGGACUGGGACCUGCUUUGGUUGUAAAUGAGAGCCUUCAGCAACACCAGGGGAGACAGAACCCACCUGAGAGGCACCCCUAAAAUUCCUCAGCCUUUUUCCAUUGCCUGCAUCUAGAGCCCUGCUGCUGCAAACCUCCAAUGUUCUGUUGAGAGACCUGACAGGUUGGUUCCCCCUCUUUAUCCCAACAGAGUCUUUCUGCCAAGAGCCUACAGACUGCUGGAACAGUAAAGAAAACGCCAGAAAUGUUUUGUUCCUCCAUCCACAGCAGGGAGAAGAAGGAAAGGAGAACCAAGUUUUGCAGCAGGAGUGCUCCUUUUGGGAUGCAAUGAUGGAUGUUCAUACCACUAACAAGCGUCACUUGUUUAAUCCCCUCAGAACCUAUUCCCAC